This 249-nucleotide long non-coding RNA is filed under the name Capsicum annuum. RNAcentral describes it as "long non-coding RNA (CANN_LNC017736)". Lineage: Eukaryota; Viridiplantae; Streptophyta; Magnoliopsida; Solanales; Solanaceae. The record is from RNAcentral.
CAGGAUAGUAUAGCCUACCAUUGGUCCUUGAAUUUUAUAUAGAUUAUCAGAUGGAGCUAAAGCAUUUUUAUACAUAUGGGAGAUUAUGGAAGGGCGGUGACCCCUUGGUUGCAGUUAUGAUCAAAGGUGUUUAGGUGAACAUAUCUACAAAAACUAUCUCUAGAUUCCUGCAUGGCAAGAUUUCCAGCUACUUGCCAACACUGUUAAGAUUGAUCACUAUGUGGAUAAAAUAUAGAAGGUAAAGAAAAC